AUCAACAUUUUGGUUUUGCAAUUUGGCAGAAAAUCUCGAUUGUUAGUUUCUAUUUUUAAACCGAUUGAUAGUUAACUUUGUAGGCGCAUUUUCUCGAUUGUAGACCGCAAAACGGAGUUAUCAUUCGGAGCCUAAUUAGUUUCAACGUUUAAACUACUAUUUUUUAAUU
Molecule: small RNA, 169 nt
Filed under: Arabidopsis thaliana (thale cress)
Lineage: Eukaryota; Viridiplantae; Streptophyta; Magnoliopsida; Brassicales; Brassicaceae
Description: ATSL017320
Source: RNAcentral